AUGAAUUCAACAGGAAUUUCUGUCUCAUCUUUCACACUAAGCUGUCUAACUCUCACUACAAGCCAGAGCUACAGGCUCAGACCACUCAUUAAUCUCACUAUCACCAGGGAUGGGCUGGAAGAACGGCAGCUGGCUGUGUUGCUUGGUGCUGAAAGGCUAGACUUGGAAAAUCGCAAGGCCUUCAAAGUAGUCUUCCACAAAGCAAUUAAGCAAGCUGAAGACAUUUGGUAGUGUAUCUCCAGUUUGACAGAAGCUGUCACGUAUUCAACAUUUGUUUUCAUGAGCCAAGGACUUUUUGAGAAGGAUAAGCUCAUCUCCUGGCCCAAACUGCUUCUCAGGUGAGGAAAAUUUUUCUGAUUGAUGUUACUGAUAUUAUUGGUUUCUGUUUCUUACCUUAGUACAUGAUGCUUCUGCCUAAGCAAGCUAUCUUUUUGCCUGAUGGCUGUGCAGUUUCUCACACAGUGUGAUUUCUGCUUCAAUAUAAAUCAGAAUUGCAGAAAUUCCAAAGAUAUUUUUAUCCAACUCGAUUUAUUUAAAAUGCUGCAGUGACUUUAUGAAGCUACAUUAGGGAUAGAUCACAUGAUUUAACUGCUUGUGGUUAUAUAAUUAAUAGUGGAAUUGAUGUGGCAUAGUAAAAUAAGAAUUCUCUUAAUAAUACACGUAUCACAUUCAGGCUGCUAUUUUUCCUUUUUUAUUUUAGAAUCUGUAAAUCCCGGGAAAAGAUCAGGGAUUACUACUUUUCUGGUAGAUUUUGCCCUGAAGAGCUUGCUCCAAAAGAUCUUGUAUCACAGAGCUAUCAGUAACAAAGGUGGGGAUUAAACUAGAAGCUAACCAUUCAUGAAGAAAGUAAAAGGUUAUAAAUUUGGGAAUCUACUUAGGGGGGUGAUAGGAAAAAGGGAAUCACUCUACAGAGUGUAUAAAUGGGAGUUACAAGCAGACAAAUAUCUGGAAGUGAAAGGAGAGAGAAGGGUGAGGGGAGAGAAAACUGGUGAUAUCUCUGCAUCAUAAUACAAAUGGAUUUCUUUGUAUCACCCAGGCUUGUAGCACUGUGAUGCUUAACUUUGCCUUUUUUAUAGCAGUGGUACUGGGAUGGAUCAAGAACAAUGGAAAUCUAUACAAGAACUGAAAAAUAAGGUCUGUCAUAAUUACAGCAUAGACAGAAGCCAGAGUAUGGGGCACAAUAAAUUUCUGAUUUUUUAAAUACA
Molecule: long non-coding RNA, 1205 nt
Filed under: Anas platyrhynchos platyrhynchos (common mallard)
Lineage: Eukaryota; Metazoa; Chordata; Aves; Anseriformes; Anatidae
Description: lncRNA (ENSAPLG00000030236.1)
Source: RNAcentral